Molecule: ribosomal RNA, 155 nt
Filed under: Trametes sanguinea
Lineage: Eukaryota; Fungi; Basidiomycota; Agaricomycetes; Polyporales; Polyporaceae
Description: partial 28S ribosomal RNA
Source: RNAcentral
GGUAGGACUACCCGCUGAACUUAUCCAUAUCUAUAACUACGAGAAAGAACAUUACCUAGUUCUGAAAGGGGUUGUAGCUAGCCUUCGGGGCAAGGACACCCCCGCUCAUCCCUCUACACCUGUGCACUUACGGAUAGGUUUGGCGUGGGCCUUCG